This 323-nucleotide ribosomal RNA is filed under the name uncultured bacterium. Its description in RNAcentral is "bacterial SSU rRNA". It matches the Rfam family "Bacterial small subunit ribosomal RNA", at positions 30 to 353 of the family's 1533-position model. The record is from RNAcentral.
AUUGAACGCUGGCGGCAGGCCUAACACAUGCAAGUCGAGCGGUAGAGAGAAGCUUGCUUCUCUUGAGAGCGGCGGACGGGUGAGUAAUGCCUAGGAAUCUGCCUGGUAGUGGGGGAUAACGUUCGGAAACGGACGCUAAUACCGCAUACGUCCUACGGGAGAAAGCAGGGGACCUUCGGGCCUUGCGCUAUCAGAUGAGCCUAGGUCGGAUUAGCUAGUUGGUGAGGUAAUGGCUCACCAAGGCGACGAUCCGUAACUGGUCUGAGAGGAUGAUCAGUCACACUGGAACUGAGACACGGUCCAGACUCCUACGGGAGGCAGCA